Molecule: ribosomal RNA, 253 nt
Filed under: uncultured Pelagibacterales bacterium
Lineage: Bacteria; Pseudomonadati; Pseudomonadota; Alphaproteobacteria; Candidatus Pelagibacterales
Description: partial 16S ribosomal RNA
Rfam family: Bacterial small subunit ribosomal RNA
Source: RNAcentral
UACGGAGGGAUCUAGCGUUAUUCGGAAUAACUGGGCGUAAAGCGAGCGUAGGCGGAUUUGUAAGUUGGAGGUGAAAUCCCAGGGCUUAACCCUGGAACUGCCUUCAAAACUACAUUUCUUGAGUUUGGUAGAGGAGAGUGGAAUUCCUAGUGUAGAGGUGAAAUUCGUAGAUAUUAGGAGGAACACCAGUGGCGAAGGCGACUCUCUGGGCCAAUACUGACGCUGAGGUUCGAAAGCGUGGGGAGCGAACGGG